GAGGAAAAGAAACCAACAGGGAUUACCUCAGUAACGGCGAGUGAAGCGGUAACAGCUCAAAUUUGAAAGCUAGCUCUUUGAGGGUUCGCAUUGUAAUUUGUAGAAGAUGCUUCGGGUGUGGCCCCGGUCUAAGUUCCUUGGAACAGGACGUCAUAGAGGGUGAGAAUCCCGUAUGUGACUGGGUGCUUUCGCUCAUGUGAAGCUCUUUCGACGAGUCGAGUUGUUUGGGAAUGCAGCUCUAAAUGGGUGGUACAUUUCAUCUAAAGCUAAAUAUUGGCCAGAGACCGAUAGCGCACAAGUAGAGUGAUCGAAAGAUGAAAAGCACUUUGGAAAGAGAGUUAAACAGUACGUGAAAUUGUUGAAAGGGAAGCGCUUGCAACCAGACUUGCGCGCUGAUGAUCAUCCGGGCUUCUGCCCGGUGCACUCGUCUGCGCUCAGGCCAGCAUCGGUUUCGGUGGUGGGAUAAAGGCCUUGGGAAUGUAGCUCCUCUCGGGGAGUGUUAUAGCCCUCGGUGCAAUGCCGCCUACCGGGACCGAGGACCGCGCUUCGGCUAGGAUGCUGGCGUAAUGGUUGUAAGCGACCCGUCUUGAAACACGGACCAAGGAGUCUAACAUCUAUGCGAGUGUUUGGGUGUCAAACCCAUACGCGUAAUGAAAGUGAACGGAGGUGAGAACCCUUAAGGGUGCAUCAUCGACCGGUCCUGAUGUCUUCGGAUGGAUCUGAGUAAGAGCAUAGCUGUUGGGACCCGAAAGAUGGUGAACUAUGCGUGAAUAGGGUGAAGCCAGAGGAAACUCUGGUGGAGGCUCGCAGCGGUUCUGACGUGCAAAUCGAUCGUCAAAUUUGCGUAUAGGGGCGAAGAC
This 860-nucleotide ribosomal RNA is filed under the name Rhynchosporium graminicola. RNAcentral's name for it is "partial large subunit ribosomal RNA". It matches the Rfam family "Eukaryotic large subunit ribosomal RNA", at positions 53 to 931 of the family's 3401-position model. The record is from RNAcentral. Lineage: Eukaryota; Fungi; Ascomycota; Leotiomycetes; Helotiales; Ploettnerulaceae.